CAUGUAAGUCUUGGUGCAAGGUCCAUUGAAGCGAAGCAGAAUAUUCUAGCUGAUUUCAGUGACCCAACCAUCCCUUGACAUUCACAUGUGCUAAAGAUGACCUUUUUUGCUGAAGUGACUUCAGGUAGCAGUGAUUCUUUGGUCUGGACUCAGUAAUUCUGUGAUUCAACCAAAAGGCUGUAAUCGUAUGACAGAUUAGAAGAGUGUUAUGAGGUACCCCAGCAUCUAGAGAAAGAGCACUCCACUACUGAACUUGAAAAAAACAUCCCCUCCUUCUGAGAAAGUACCACCUGAGACUGUUUGCCUGCACAGCGCCUGUCCAUCUUGCUUGACAGUUUCCAG
Molecule: long non-coding RNA, 342 nt
Organism: Strigops habroptila (Kakapo)
Lineage: Eukaryota; Metazoa; Chordata; Aves; Psittaciformes; Psittacidae
Exons: 3
Source: RefSeq, a predicted model, not a curated record